RNAcentral lists this ribosomal RNA (29 nucleotides) under Absidia caerulea. Its description in RNAcentral is "partial 28S ribosomal RNA". The record is from RNAcentral. Lineage: Eukaryota; Fungi; Mucoromycota; Mucoromycetes; Mucorales; Cunninghamellaceae.
CCUAAACUUGAUCUGAAAUCAGGCGGGAU